CCUACGGGUGGCAGCAGUGGGGAAUAUUGCGCAAUGGGCGAAAGCCUGACGCAGCGACGCCGCGUGAGGGAUGAAGGUCUUCGGAUCGUAAACCUCUGUCAGCAGGGAAGAACGGUCACUGUGCUAAUCAGCAGUGAAUUGACGGUACCUGCAGAGGAAGCACCGGCUAACUCCGUGCCAGCAGCCGCGGUAAUACGGAGGGUGCGAGCGUUAAUCGGAAUUACUGGGCGUAAAGCGCUCGUAGGCGGUAUGUCAAGUCAAGUGUGAAAUCCCCGCGCUUAACGUGGGAACUGCCUUUGAUACUGGCAAACUGGAGUGUGUGAGAGGAUAGUGGAAUUCCAGGUGUAGGAGUGAAAUGCGUAGAGAUGUGGAGGAAUAUCAGAGGCGAAGGCGACUAUCUGGCAAAGAACUGACGCUGAGGAGCGAAAGCGUGGGUAGCAAACAGGAUUAGAUACCCCUGUAGUC
This 465-nucleotide ribosomal RNA is filed under the name uncultured bacterium. RNAcentral describes it as "partial 16S ribosomal RNA". It matches the Rfam family "Bacterial small subunit ribosomal RNA", at positions 338 to 795 of the family's 1533-position model. The record is from RNAcentral.